RNAcentral lists this ribosomal RNA (427 nucleotides) under uncultured bacterium. RNAcentral's name for it is "partial 16S ribosomal RNA". It matches the Rfam family "Bacterial small subunit ribosomal RNA", at positions 355 to 774 of the family's 1533-position model. The record is from RNAcentral.
UGGGGAAUAUUGCACAAUGGGCGCAAGCCUGAUGCAGCCAUGCCGCGUGUGUGAAGAAGGUCUUCGGAUUGUAAAGCACUUUAAGUUGGGAGGAAGGGCAUUAACCUAAUACGUUAGUGUUUUGACGUUACCGACAGAAUAAGCACCGGCUAACUCUGUGCCAGCAGCCGCGGUAAUACAGAGGGUGCAAGCGUUAAUCGGAAUUACUGGGCGUAAAGCGCGCGUUGGUGGUUUGUUAAUUUGGAUGUGAAAUCCCCGGGCUCAACCUGGGAACUGCAUUCAAAACUGACUGACUAGAGUAUGGUAGAGGGUGGUGGAAUUUCCUGUGUAGCGGUGAAAUGCGUAGAUAUAGGAAGGAACUCCAGUGGCGAAGGCGACCACCUGGACUAAUACUGACACUGAGGUGCGAAAGCGUGGGGAGCAAACA